AACAGAAGUGGAAAAGAGCUGGUGGACAAACACGUCCUGUCGAACUUUUUAUUGUCACGCUUUGCUUUGCUCUGCUUUGCUUUGCUUUGCUUUUUCCUCCUUUUUGUUUCUUUGUUUUUGUUUUCAAGUUUGUGUACUGUAGUAAUGGUUUGAUGAGGAAAAGGAAGGAAAAGAAAAUGCCUC
RNAcentral lists this non-coding RNA (183 nucleotides) under Aurantiochytrium limacinum. Lineage: Eukaryota; Bigyra; Thraustochytrida; Thraustochytriidae. The record is from RNAcentral.